Molecule: ribosomal RNA, 504 nt
Filed under: uncultured bacterium
Lineage: Bacteria
Description: partial 16S ribosomal RNA
Rfam family: Bacterial small subunit ribosomal RNA
Source: RNAcentral
GAUGAACGCUAGCGGCCGGCCUAAUACAUGCAAGUCGAACGGGAUCUGAGGGUAGCUUGCUACCCGAUUUGAGAGUGGCGCACGGGUGCGUAACGCGUGAGCAACCUACCCAUAUCAGGGGGAUAGCCCGGAGAGAUUCGGAUUAACACCGCAUAAGAAUGCAUUAACACAUGUUAAAGCAUUUAAAUAUUCAUAGGAUAUGGAUGGGCUCGCGUGACAUUAGCUAUUUGGUAAGGGAAAGGCUCACAAAGGCGACGAUGUCUAGGGGCUCUGGGAGGAGAAUCCCCCACACUGGUACUGAGACACGGACCAGACUCCUACGGGAGGCAGCAGUAAGGAAUAUUGGUCAAUGGGCGGAAGCCUGAACCAGCCAUGCCGCGUGCAGGAUGACUGCCCUAUGGGUUGUAAACUGCUUUUGUCGAGGAAUAAACCUAUCUACGUGUAGCUAGUUGAACGUACUCGAAGAAUAAGGAUCGGCUAACUCCGUGCCAGCAGCCGCAGUAA